AAUGGUAGGGGCUGCGCGAACGCAAACCCCCUCUGCCACAAAUAAUGACGUAGGCUCUUCCUCAAGGGAAGACCUUAAGCUAAGCACCCCAGACAAAGUGCAGGCCGGUCACUAGCCUAGGCCACUCGUCAUCUUGAUCACGAGUAGACCCCGUCCAGGUAAGU
Molecule: small nuclear RNA, 164 nt
Filed under: Arabidopsis thaliana (thale cress)
Lineage: Eukaryota; Viridiplantae; Streptophyta; Magnoliopsida; Brassicales; Brassicaceae
Description: ATSL007620
Source: RNAcentral